AAUAGAUACCCAGGUAGUCCACGCCGUAAACGAUGAGUGCUAAGUGUUAGGGGGUUUCCGCCCCUUAGUGCUGCAGCUAACGCAUUAAGCACUCCGCCUGGGGGAGUACGGUCGCAAGACUGAAACUCAAAGGAAUUGACGGGGGCCCGCACAAGCGGUGGAGCAUGUGGUUUAAUUCGAAGCAACGCGAAGAACCUUACCAGGUCUUGACAUCCCACUGACCGCUAUGGAGACAUAGUUUUCCCUUCGGGGACAGUGGUGACAGGUGGUGCAUGGUUGUCGUCAGCUCGUGUCGUGAGAUGUUGGGUUAAGUCCCGCAACGAGCGCAACCCUUGAUCUUAGUUGCCAUCACUUAGUUGGGCACUCUAAGGUGACUGCCGGUGACAAACCGGAGGAAGGUGGGGAUGACGUCAAAUCAUCAUGCCCCUUAUGACCUGGGCUACACACGUGCUACAAUGGACGGUACAAACGGUUGCCAACCCGCGAGGGGGAGCUAAUCCGAUAAAACCGUUCUCAGUUCGGAUUGUAGGCUGCAACUCGCCUAC
RNAcentral lists this ribosomal RNA (545 nucleotides) under uncultured bacterium. Its description in RNAcentral is "bacterial SSU rRNA". It matches the Rfam family "Bacterial small subunit ribosomal RNA", at positions 777 to 1319 of the family's 1533-position model. The record is from RNAcentral.